RNAcentral lists this ribosomal RNA (739 nucleotides) under Psychrobacillus sp. I12B-00912. RNAcentral describes it as "bacterial SSU rRNA". It matches the Rfam family "Bacterial small subunit ribosomal RNA", at positions 66 to 786 of the family's 1533-position model. Lineage: Bacteria; Bacillati; Bacillota; Bacilli; Caryophanales; Bacillaceae. The record is from RNAcentral.
GCGAAUGACGAAGAAGCUUGCUUCUUCUGAUUUAGCGGCGGACGGGUGAGUAACACGUGGGCAACCUGCCCUGUAGAUUGGGAUAACUCCGGGAAACCGGGGCUAAUACCGAAUAAUCCAUUUCCUCACAUGUGGAGAUGUUAAAAGACGGUUUCGGCUGUCACUACAGGAUGGGCCCGCGGCGCAUUAGCUAGUUGGUGAGGUAACGGCUCACCAAGGCGACGAUGCGUAGCCGACCUGAGAGGGUGAUCGGCCACACUGGGACUGAGACACGGCCCAGACUCCUACGGGAGGCAGCAGUAGGGAAUCUUCCACAAUGGACGAAAGUCUGAUGGAGCAACGCCGCGUGAGUGAAGAAGGUUUUCGGAUCGUAAAACUCUGUUGUGAGGGAAGAACAAGUACGAGAGUAACUGCUCGUACCUUGACGGUACCUCAUUAGAAAGCCACGGCUAACUACGUGCCAGCAGCCGCGGUAAUACGUAGGUGGCAAGCGUUGUCCGGAAUUAUUGGGCGUAAAGCGCGCGCAGGCGGUCCUUUAAGUCUGAUGUGAAAGCCCACGGCUCAACCGUGGAAGGUCAUUGGAAACUGGGGGACUUGAGUGCAGAAGAGGAAAGUGGAAUUCCAAGUGUAGCGGUGAAAUGCGUAGAGAUUUGGAGGAACACCAGUGGCGAAGGCGACUUUCUGGUCUGUAACUGACGCUGAGGCGCGAAAGCGUGGGGAGCAAACAGGAUUAGAUACC